AACGAACGCUGGCGGCAUGCCUAACACAUGCAAGUCGAACGAGACCUUCGGGUCUAGUGGCGCACGGGUGCGUAGCGCGUGGGAACCUGCCCUUAGGUUCGGAAUAACUCCCCGAAAGGGGUGCUAAUACCGGAUAAUGUCUUCGGACCAAAGAUUUAUCGCCUUUGGAUGGGCCCGCGUUGGAUUAGCUAGUUGGUAGGGUAAAAGCCUACCAAGGCGACGAUCCAUAGCUGGUCUGAGAGGAUGAUCAGCCACACUGGGACUGAGACACGGCCCAGACUACUACGGGAAGCAGCAGUGGGAAAUAUUGGACAAUGGGCGAAAGCCUGAUCCAGCAAUGCCGCGUGAGUGAUGAAGGCCUUAGGGUUGUAAAGCUCUUUUACCCGGGAUGAUAAUGACAGUACCGGGAGAAUAAGCUCCGGCUAACUCCGUG
RNAcentral lists this ribosomal RNA (433 nucleotides) under uncultured bacterium. Its description in RNAcentral is "partial 16S ribosomal RNA". It matches the Rfam family "Bacterial small subunit ribosomal RNA", at positions 29 to 507 of the family's 1533-position model. The record is from RNAcentral.